GCCCCAUUAGCUCAGUUGGUUAGAGCGUCGUGCUAAUAACGCGAAGAUCGGGGGUUCGGUCCCCCCAUGGGACA
Uloborus diversus is the source of this 74-nucleotide non-coding RNA. NCBI's taxonomy places the organism in Eukaryota, Metazoa, Arthropoda, Arachnida, Araneae, Uloboridae. The record is from the annotation of a RefSeq genome assembly.